CCUUGCUUGCCCCACGGCCGAGAUCAAAAUCUUUAUUUACCGCAAAAAAUAUAAAAUACAAAAACAAAUAAAAGACGUAAUAAUAGAGAGGAUCCGAAACCCGAAAGAGUCUCACAAACUCUCUACUGGAGAGAGUAAAAUUACCUCUGAGCACCUGAGCGAUUCAUUCUUUCUGGUCCCGAUUUCGCUUCGAAUCAGGUCCAUAUCGCUGUCUUUGCGCAAUUAUAUUGGAUUAAGGCUUUGCUGGUUUUGCGAUUUUGUUGUUUUUAUUUAUUAUUUUUUUUGUGGAUCUGUUUCCGGUGAUUAUCACUCAUUUCUCUUCGAUUGCGAUUACUUUUUAUAUAUUUAUUUUUAAUCAAAAUAUUUCGUAAUUAAUGGCUCUUUUUUAAGUGAUGAGUGGACUGUGUUUUUGGUUUGCGAGUAAAUUAUGUGAAGGAGCGUGAGCAGUCAUCACAACUACUUCGGUCGUUGUGACCUGCAGUGAUGAUUGAGCGUGUUUUCGGUUGUGUUUUCAGCUGCGGAAGGCAAUUUUUGGGGUUUUGUGACUGAAAAAUGAGUAAUUUCUGAGAAAUUUUUGAGUUCAAUAUGGAACAUAAUUAGGGUUUCUGUUAUGAAAAUCAUGGUAAUUUGCAGUGAUUUUGGUCUGAAAUGUAAUUGAGUUGUUUUGGCUUUAAUUUGUAUCAGUUUAGGGUUUAUUUUGGCUUUUUGUUAGGUAUGAUUUUACUUUGGUGUUUACUGUUUGUUUAUUUAAUUUUUUUAUGUGGCUGAUUUUGAGUUGGGCCAUGAGCUGAUUCUUCUCAUUUGCAGAUUUUAGGGGUUUUUGGGAAUUGAGAAGAGGGGUUUGGCGAUAUGACGAUGAACGAGCGGAAAACGAUUGACUUAGAACAAGGAUGGGAGUUUAUGCAGAAGGGAAUUACAAAGUUGAAGAAUAUACUGGAAGGGCUCCCCGAGCCACAAUUCAGCUCUGAAGAUUACAUGAUGCUUUACACGUAUCUAUUUCAACCACAUUUGGUUUCUGCAUUUGUCAACAUCUUAUUACUUGUAAUUCAUAAUUUUUUUUUAGCAUUUUUAUGGUAUUGCUUUUUUUUUUUUUCAAAAAAAUCUGUUUACAGAACCAUCUACAACAUGUGCACGCAAAAGCCUCCCCAUGAUUACUCUCAACAGCUUUAUGACAAGUACCGGGAGUCUUUUGAAGAAUGGAGAGAAUGUUUUCUUGCUUCUUGAGGGUGGGUUCACGGGUUGGGUGUUGUGAUUUUUUUGUUUGUGUGUGUUUUGUGUUUGUGUAAACUGUAAAGUGUAACCUUUUGAGUAUGUGAUUUCACUGAUUUGUGUGAUUAUGUGUGGUGUGCUGUGUGCCAUGUGUGUGUGUUUGGCCAUAGCAUUUUUUUUUUUUUUUAGCAACCUGAUCGGGUUUUCGGAUCGGAUUGGAUUUUAUCCGAUCCGAUCACAACCCGAUCGUGUUUGCAAUAUUUCAUCCGAUCGGGUUAUAUUAACAACCCGAUUCGACCCGAACCUGAAAUUUUUCGGGUCGGGUUGGAUCGGAUCGGGUAUUUUGCCCACCCCUAAUUAGAGCAUCUCCAAAAAACUCUUCAAAUAAGAUUAUAUUUCUUAUUUGAAGAGCUAUAUAAAUAUUAAACACUCCAAAAGACACGUUAAUUUAGAUUCUUCAAAUAAGAUUUGUUUCUCACUCUUUAAUAUUACCGAGUGAGUUUCUUCUUCUUUUAUUAAUUUAUUAUUAUUAUUUAUUGAAAAUAUAAGACUGCAAUAAUUAUUAUUUAUGUUUCUUUUAAAAAAUAUAAUGACAAUUCAAUUUGAUAGUGGGAAAGGUUUGAUUAAAAUAAUAUUAAUUUAUUCUUAUUUGGUGAGUCUUUUGAAGGGGAUUAUAUUUUUCUAUACACUUAUUUACCACAUCAGUAAGCAAAUUGAAAUUUGAAAAAUAAAAUUUAAAGAUCCUUUUGGAGAUGCUCUUAUAUCUUUUACAUAACAAGUGAUGAUUUUAAUUAUUUAAAGGUAAUUUGCAAUAAAAUUAUUAAUUAUCAUAAUCAAUUAUGCGAUAAUUUUAUCUUUAGCUAAGACACCUUAAUCCACCAAUUUUUCCCGUAUAACUUCUUUUUUUUUUUUUUCCUUUAAAUCAUAAUGUGGGAGCACAAAAAUGUACGGCUCAGUUUAAUUGAAUAUAGUGGAUUCUUUAAUGAAGCACAAUUAAUUUAUGUACAGCAGCAUUUUCACUCACUUUCUCGGUAACAAUACAAGGUGUACGUAAGGCCGAACAAUUAAAAAACAAAAUAAAAAAUUCUUCACAAUCCUUCUUCCCCUAGACCUAUGGUCACAGUCUCGUUGGUUUUGUAUAGUUAUCAAAUCUUUCACUUUCAACUCUUAUGAGUUAUGCCCAUCGCCUUGAACGAGAAACAUAAUAAUUGUUUCACUUGCUGUUUUUUUUUUUUUUGGACAUAAUUUCACUUACUAUUUAUUUAUCAUGAACUAGUGCGAAACAUAAUUUAUGGAAUACACUAUGUAUUAAAGUCAACAAACAAUAAGGUAUUUGAUGUACAUGGAAAGUACAUUGAAAGAGUGAUACUUGUGACUUUGAUUUAGAUUUAGUUUUUUUUUUGUUUUUUUAAUGAAAAAAAAAAGAAAUGAUUAGUAAUAAUUCCACACAAUCAUCAAUUUUAUCAUUAUCGCAAUCACAUGUUUUACAGUUAUAGUAUAUACAAAUCCAAAAUAUAGUAGUAAAUUAGGAAAGUAAAAUAGUUUACCAUACGAUUCUUAUAAGUUAAUAAUACCACACAAUCAUCAAUUUCAUCCCUAAUGUUUAAUGCAAUAGUCUAUUUCAUCCCUACUUUUCAAAUAAUAAUCUAAAAUAUCUUUCCGUUAACUCACCGUUAGUGUAAAGUAGUUAACUAGUAAUUCAUUGAGGGUAAAAUAUGAUUUUUUUUAUUAAAGUGAUACAAACUAUAUUAAAAUAUAUUUUUUACAUAAUUAAAUAACAUUACAAAGUAUACAAAAUUCAUUAAUUUUUUCUUAAAUGAAAUCAACGAUGAUAUUGUUUGAUAUACUCAUUGAAUAAUUGUCAUAAGGAACAAAUUGUAAUUAACACAAUAUUUUUAUUCUUUAAAUCAUUGGAAGAAAAACUCAAAAAUACCACUAAUUUUUAUGUGCUUGCAUGUGCUAAAUAUUUUCUUUAUCUUCAACUCAAUUCAAUAAAUUUUACUGUGCAAUUAGAGAGUAUACUUAUAUGAAUAAGAAAAUUGUGAUAUUUUUUGUACUUAGAUUUAGGGUUUAUAGAGUUUUCAUGCCGCUAAAAUAAAAAAGAAUGACUUGAAAUAUAAAAUUUUCAUCUUUUUCAGUAUUUCCUAUUUAGCGGGAUUUGAUAAAAUUAUUUUUAGUUAUAUGUCAACUUUUAUUUAUUUUUUUAAUUUUCUCUUUGAUGGAAAAUCUAUUUUUACCCUUAAUGAAUUACUAACAAACGACAUUUAACUAACGGUGAGUUAACAGAAUGAUAUUUUGAGCUGUUGUUUAAAAAAUAAAGAUGAAAUAGGUAAUUGCAUAAAAUUCUAGGGAUGAGAAAUAUUUUUUCCCGAUAUUAAAUUUUACCAAAAAGCAUUAGAAAUUGUGAGAAGAUUGAUGAUAAAUUUUAUUUAGUUUUUUACAAUCCAACCGAUCCCAAAGGAUAAAUUAUAAUAUUCUGGAGAAAUGAUAAAGUAAAUCUUAAAAUAAUGUCAUAUAAUAGAAAAACAUAUAUAUUAUUAUCCUUUCUAUUUUGUCAAAAUUACUAGCUUAAAAACAUCAACAUGAUUAUAAUAAUAACAAAGAGAGCCUCAAGUGUUGUUAGACGUAAUAGAAGGGAGGCAUGUGAAAAUUAUUAGGCAAUAAAUGAAAAUUUUUUUGACAUUGAUAUUACAGACUAUUACUCAUAUUAUAUGAAAUUACUACUGAUAUUAAUAUUUAAAGGACGUUUACUUCAAUUUAUUAAAAAAAAAAUUUCUUCACUCAAUUAUAUAACAUAAUUAAAAAAAAAAACUAAUUUCUACCAUACAUUUAUAUAGGGAUUCAAACUACCUCGCUCGCUACUGGGUAAAAGCUCGUUUAGUCCAUAUAUUUUGAAGUUAGUGUCCGUUUAGUCCAUAUAUUUUUAAAAAUACAUCAAACCAUUCCUACCAUUAAAUUAUUGACACUCUUGUUAUUAUCUUUUGUUCCUUUUAACUUAUUUUUAUAAUAUUACCCUUUUAUAAUAAUUUUUUUAAACAUUAUUAAAAAGAAAAAAUAAAUUACCAGUUUAACACCAAAAUUAAAAUAAAAAAUAUAUAUUAAUUUUUGUGGAACACUCUCUUGAGUUAAAAUAUUAAUUGUUCUAAAAAAAUUGGUAAUGUAAUUUUUUACAAUAUUAAUUUUCUAAACAUACGUGAGCUUCUACAAAAAUUAAUAUAUACCUUUUUAUUUUUAUUUUAUUUUAUUUUUGAGUUUAAUUUGAUAAUCUAAUUUUUUUAUUAAUAUCCAAAAAAAAUAUUAUUGUAAGAGUGUAAUAUUAUAAAAGUAAGUUAAAAAGAAUAAAAAAUAAUAACAUAAGUAUUAAUAUUUAACAGUAAAAAUAUUUUAAGAUAUUUUAAAAAAUAUAAAAACUAAAUAAACACUAACCUUAUAAUAUAAAAACUAAACAAACUUUUACCCCUUGCUUGCCCCACGGCCGAGAUCAAAAUCUUUAUUUACCGCAAAAAAUAUAAAAUACAAAAACAAAUAAAAGACGUAAUAAUAGAGAGGAUCCGAAACCCGAAAGAGUCUCACAAACUCUCUACUGGAGAGAGUAAAAUUACCUCUGAGCACCUGAGCGAUUCAUUCUUUCUGGUCCCGAUUUCGCUUCGAAUCAGGUCCAUAUCGCUGUCUUUGCGCAAUUAUAUUGGAUUAAGGCUUUGCUGGUUUUGCGAUUUUGUUGUUUUUAUUUAUUAUUUUUUUUGUGGAUCUGUUUCCGGUGAUUAUCACUCAUUUCUCUUCGAUUGCGAUUACUUUUUAUAUAUUUAUUUUUAAUCAAAAUAUUUCGUAAUUAAUGGCUCUUUUUUAAGUGAUGAGUGGACUGUGUUUUUGGUUUGCGAGUAAAUUAUGUGAAGGAGCGUGAGCAGUCAUCACAACUACUUCGGUCGUUGUGACCUGCAGUGAUGAUUGAGCGUGUUUUCGGUUGUGUUUUCAGCUGCGGAAGGCAAUUUUUGGGGUUUUGUGACUGAAAAAUGAGUAAUUUCUGAGAAAUUUUUGAGUUCAAUAUGGAACAUAAUUAGGGUUUCUGUUAUGAAAAUCAUGGUAAUUUGCAGUGAUUUUGGUCUGAAAUGUAAUUGAGUUGUUUUGGCUUUAAUUUGUAUCAGUUUAGGGUUUAUUUUGGCUUUUUGUUAGGUAUGAUUUUACUUUGGUGUUUACUGUUUGUUUAUUUAAUUUUUUUAUGUGGCUGAUUUUGAGUUGGGCCAUGAGCUGAUUCUUCUCAUUUGC
This 5472-nucleotide long non-coding RNA is filed under the name Citrus sinensis (sweet orange). RNAcentral's name for it is "long non-coding RNA (CSIN_LNC003748)". Lineage: Eukaryota; Viridiplantae; Streptophyta; Magnoliopsida; Sapindales; Rutaceae. The record is from RNAcentral.